AGGGAGCGGGGGCUGCCCACCCAUCAGUCAGAAAACCGAUCCUGGAAAACGUGAUCCCUGUAGCACCCCGGGUACCUGCUCUUGAACGGGAACGACCAGAGACAAGGCCAUUUUCCGAGCACUCCGGGGAACGCCAAGUCACACAUUUGCUGCAAAGCACGCGCCUUGGGACCACAGCACGCAAUAGGAAGCUGGUGCAGCGUGUGCCAGAGCCAGGCACUGCUGCUGCAGGGCUGAGAAGCCUGGUGCGCCGGGACCAGGGCCCCGCGGGGUGCCGGUGCGUGGCCUUUGCUCUGAGGCAGGCCUAGCGCGUGACCCAGGAGGGAGGUCCCGACACCCCCGACCUUCCUGGAUGAGCAGCGGCCAGAUAGGGAAGGCGCAGGGAGGACAGGGAGCAGGUGGCUGUGAGGAGACAGUCCGGGCCUGUCCCCAAGCGGCCCCUCCAGAGUAGGAGGCAGACCUUCCCUGUCGGCCCAGGAGCCCCUUUCUCAGGGCAGGGGGUUCUGGUGAUGUUGAAGAGUUCCCCUCACUGCUGCCGGCUGUGUGCUGUGAUUGGCUGUGUGCCGGGAUCCGCUGUGUGCCGGGAUCCGCUGGGUGCCGGGAUCCGCUGUGUGCAGAGGUGGGCUGCCCACCUUUUUACCUGAGCUCCUUCAUCUGAUCUUCCCUGCCGCCCUGGGAAGGGGUACUGCUGCCUCCCAUGCCACAGGUGACAACACGGAGGGUCCAUGAGCCCCGUAUUCAGGGCUGGCUGACUCCAAAGUGCGCUCUGAGCUGUGCACUGCUGAGAAGCCCAGGGCAGGCUCUGCCACUCCAUCACAUCAUCUGUCUGCCAGGACACAGAGGGGGAAACCGCCUUGAGGGGACAGGUGGCCCUGGGGAGGACAGGCCAGAGGCAAUCUGAAGGCAAAUCCUGUUUCGACCCAGGCGAAAGUUCCUGGUGAUCCAGGCUCUCACCAGCCGAUUGUCCCUUCCUGUCUUCCUGAGGGUGUCUGGAGCUUCAGUGUUGUGUGCUCUUGGCCUCCACGCUGGGGUGCCACCGACUCCCACUGUCCAGGGCUUCUGGUGGACUCUCCGAGGCACUGAUGCAGAAACAUCCCCAUUCGGUGCACCAAGAGCAGCCUCACACGGUGUGGGCUGACAUGAAGAGCUGCCGGAUCCAACAGGUAAAAAUCCCGAGGCAUUGCCCGCUCGAUAGGGUCAGAGAGUCCUCUUUCUAUUGUGACUCAGAUGUGAAGGGAAGAUGCCAAGGUCCCUAAAGAUCGCAGGGCCUUGCCUGGCAUGAAACAGAUAUGAAAUAAGUAUUUGUUAAAUGAAUGAACAAAUAUUCCCAGCGUGUGCUGCCCACGACCUGCCGUGCCGUGGUCAGGUGGAAGUGAUUUUACUUCAGGAGAGGACAGUGUUCUCUCCAGGGCUUUUCCUCAGUAGCUAGAUCUGCAUCCCCCUCCUCACUCUUCCCCUCUCACCCCCCAUUGUCUGCCCCCUUUUCUCUCUGUUUCCACCCUGCUGUCCCCUUACACCUGCUUUCUCCUCUUCAGCUUUCUUGGCUCAUCCCCUCCCUGUCCCCCUGCAUCCCCCAGGCUCAGGCCCCUACUCUCUCCUGGAUGGGGAGAUGUGUCUGGUUUUAGGCGGUGCCCUCUAGAUGUGUCCAGGAUGGGGAAACAUGGCUCAGUUGACAGUAUAAUGGGUUAAAAGAGUGGCCACUUUUGAAGGCCUGUCCCAUCUCCCAUUCCAGAAUCCUGUAGGACUUAGAAUUUAUGGGCCACAGUGGAAUUCUUGGUUCCCCAGGACCUUGUGGUGGAUGCCUUUUUUCCCUGAGCUUUCAUGGGGUGAGUAUUAGGUAGCAGGCCCUGCUCUGGGCUAGAGGCCCCAUAAUGAAUAAAUCUCAGGCCACUACCCCACGGAACCCACUACUGCAGGCAUUGAG
This 1924-nucleotide long non-coding RNA is filed under the name Macaca mulatta (Rhesus monkey). RNAcentral's name for it is "lncRNA (ENSMMUG00000056776.1)". The record is from RNAcentral. Lineage: Eukaryota; Metazoa; Chordata; Mammalia; Primates; Cercopithecidae.